GACAUAGGUGGCGAGCGUUAUUCGGAAUCACUAGGCGUAAAGCGAGUGUAGGCGGAUGCCUAAGUCCGUCGUGAAAUCUCCCGGCUUAACUGGGAGGGGUCGAUGGAUACUGGGCGUCUUGAGUGGGGUAGGGGAUAUCGGAAUUCCCGGUGUAGCGGUGAAAUGCGUAGAUAUCGGGAGGAACGCCGAUGGCGAAAGCGGAUGUCUGGCCCCCAACUGACGCUAAGACUCGAAAGCUAGGGGAGCAAACAGG
Molecule: ribosomal RNA, 253 nt
Filed under: uncultured organism
Description: partial 16S ribosomal RNA
Rfam family: Bacterial small subunit ribosomal RNA
Source: RNAcentral